Molecule: long non-coding RNA, 1191 nt
Filed under: Dromaius novaehollandiae (emu)
Lineage: Eukaryota; Metazoa; Chordata; Aves; Casuariiformes; Dromaiidae
Description: lncRNA (ENSDNVG00000001447.1)
Source: RNAcentral
CAUCAAUUUCAUCAUAUAUCUCCUCAGGGUAAUUCAACAAAGGCAAAAAGAAGGAGGCAAAACAUGUAUGUUUAGACCUGAAGGAUUUACUACUGUAUAGCCUUAAAUGCAGGAAGCCCUUCAGAAUAAAUGAUUUUAAAGCUUGUGGCCCACUGAAUACCCUUGAAUGUAGGAUUACAUAUAUGAGAUAUAUAUUUGUCCUGUUCUCACGCACAUUGCCAAAAGGAAAUUCCAUUAAAGUUAAUGGGAGGUAGAUGAACAUAAGUGAAGAAAGCUACAUCCCUGAGGAGGUAAUAAAGAUGUUCCAUUUUCUGCCUACAUAAAAUGUCAGAGCCAUCUAAGACUAAUCUUGCUUAUUAUUAAGGAAAAAAAUUGCUUGAAAGCUGCUGGAUAAAUAUAAGUGAAAAUACAAGACCUUGUCUGUAUGUCUAAGUAGAGUAGUAAAAUAUAAAUGAUGCUUAAUCCAUUUAGAUAGAUACAUAUAGAAAGCUAACAUAAAUGCAACAAAUGUGCUGUGAUGGAAAACUAGGCAUUAUGUAGAGUAGCUGUGCUUAGGGAACAAGUGAGGCAAUGCAGCUGCUCCCAUUAAUCAGGGAAAUCCAUCUAUGUUUCUGCUCGUUCCCACAGCAUUAACAACUUCGUUUUUUAAUUCUGAAUAUGGGUAUAAGAUGGAUGAUCAUGUGAUGAGUAUUUCACUGUAAAUGAGCAGACUUUUCAGCCUGGUCACAGACACACAACACUCCUGGAUUGUUCUCACAGUAGUUGUGAAUAACAAGAAAAGAGUUGUUUUCCAGCUGUUGUCUAUAUCUUCACCUGAAAUCAAAAAAAAGGAGGGCAGGGAAAGAUGCAUGUAGCAGUUUCCUGCUUAUUUGGAACAGAAGUAAUUGUUUGAAGUCAGUUAAAAAACGUGUGUUAGUGAUUGCUAUCAUCGAAGCAGCAUUUGGAAGUCCAUGCUAUUCAUUGUAUAACUGUUUUUAUUUCUGUCAUGUCUGGCUGUCAGUUGCCUUCUGUCAGUGGGUUCGAAUUAAGUAAGUGUUGCUGUUCUAGCAUUUGGAAAUUGGGGGAAAAUGUGGAGGCAGUUACUUCUACAAAGUUGGGGUGUGGGCUACUUAUACAUUUCUGAUGUAGCUUGUGUAAUGCUUAAUCUAUUGUAAGAAAUUCACAAUAAAAGACGUGUGCGAUUAACUUGCA